Molecule: long non-coding RNA, 967 nt
Filed under: Ananas comosus (pineapple)
Lineage: Eukaryota; Viridiplantae; Streptophyta; Magnoliopsida; Poales; Bromeliaceae
Description: long non-coding RNA (ACOM_LNC004073)
Source: RNAcentral
UUAUUAUAUAUAAUAUUUUAUUUUUAUAUAAAAAUAUUAUUAUAUAAUAUUUUAUUUAUAAAUUUGUAAUUAUUUAUUAAUAUUUCUAAAUAUAUAACUCUUCUAUAUUAUUAAUAUAUGUUUAUUAUAAUUUUAUAUAUAUUUAAUCUAUAUAUAAAAAUUAUAAUAAUAAUAUACAUAGCAUAUUAAUUAUUAUAUUUUUAUUAUAUAGCCGAAUUUUUUAUCCGAAAUUUUUAAUUGGUGAACGUAUAAUAUCCUUAUAAAUCACGUAAUCGAAUAAUUACUAAAUCCGUUUUUUAGCCGUAUUUUUCAACGAAUUUAAAAAUUAAAAGACGAAUUUUAUCCGAAUUAUACCCGUACCGAAUUUUUGUCGAAUCCGAAUUAACUAACAGUCCAUUCAUACUAGUUAAGUCCGGCUUAGGUGAAGACACUACAACAAAAACGGUCUAUAGCGACACUUUUAAGUGUAGGUACAUAUCAAAAAAGUGCUGCUAGCUAAAAUUACCGACACUUUUAAAACGUGUUGCUAUAUGUGGGGUCGCUAGGUAUAUAGUGACAGUUAAAGAGUGUCUCUAUAACCUAAAAGAGUGCUGUUAAUUUACCAACAACUUAUUUAAGCAUUUAGCAACCGCCGAAACUCUAUCUCGUUGGCUGCGGUGGCGGAGGAGGACGACAGGAAUGACUCUUCGUCUAGAAUUUCAGUAGAUUGAGUGAAGAGAGAAGAAAAUAUGGUAAUCGAUUUUUCUUUUUUUUUCUUUUCUGUUUGUAAUCGGGUCAAAUGGACUGGGUGUGGUGGGUUGAGUAGAGUAAUCUUUUAUUUUUGGUUGGAUUGGGUUUUAUAUUUAGACAUUAGUAGAUGUUUUUUUAAGUUUUAGCAUAAAUGGGACACUUACUAAAAAGUGUCCCAAACAUGUGUCCUAACCUAAUUCUGUUGUAAUGAGAAAACUUUAACAACCUACUCCACAAA